Molecule: ribosomal RNA, 591 nt
Filed under: Trichoderma asperellum
Lineage: Eukaryota; Fungi; Ascomycota; Sordariomycetes; Hypocreales; Hypocreaceae
Description: eukaryotic LSU rRNA
Rfam family: 5.8S ribosomal RNA (bases 217-370)
Source: RNAcentral
GUUCCGUAGGGUGAACCUGCGGAGGGAUCAUUACCGAGUUUACAACUCCCAAACCCAAUGUGAACGUUACCAAACUGUUGCCUCGGCGGGGUCACGCCCCGGGUGCGUCGCAGCCCCGGAACCAGGCGCCCGCCGGAGGAACCAACCAAACUCUUUCUGUAGUCCCCUCGCGGACGUAUUUCUUACAGCUCUGAGCAAAAAUUCAAAAUGAAUCAAAACUUUCAACAACGGAUCUCUUGGUUCUGGCAUCGAUGAAGAACGCAGCGAAAUGCGAUAAGUAAUGUGAAUUGCAGAAUUCAGUGAAUCAUCGAAUCUUUGAACGCACAUUGCGCCCGCCAGUAUUCUGGCGGGCAUGCCUGUCCGAGCGUCAUUUCAACCCUCGAACCCCUCCGGGGGAUCGGCGUUGGGGAUCGGGACCCCUCACACGGGUGCCGGCCCCGAAAUACAGUGGCGGUCUCGCCGCAGCCUCUCCUGCGCAGUAGUUUGCACAACUCGCACCGGGAGCGCGGCGCGUCCACGUCCGUAAAACACCCAACUUUCUGAAAUGUUGACCUCGGAUCAGGUAGGAAUACCCGCUGAACUUAAGCAUAU